RNAcentral lists this ribosomal RNA (499 nucleotides) under Kineosporiaceae bacterium JMT1942. Its description in RNAcentral is "bacterial SSU rRNA". It matches the Rfam family "Bacterial small subunit ribosomal RNA", at positions 62 to 573 of the family's 1533-position model. The record is from RNAcentral. Lineage: Bacteria; Bacillati; Actinomycetota; Actinomycetes; Kineosporiales; Kineosporiaceae.
UUAGAACGGUGAUCUCCAGCUUGCUGGGGUGAUCAGUGGCGAACGGGUGAGUAACACGUGAGCAACCUGCCCAUGGCUCUGGGAUAACCUGGGGAAACCGAGGCUAAUACCGGAUAUGACGCGUACAGGCAUCUGUUGCGUGUGGAAAGUUUUUCGGCCAUGGAUGGGCUCGCGGCCUAUCAGCUUGUUGGUGGGGUAAUGGCCUACCAAGGCGACGACGGGUAGCCGGCCUGAGAGGGCGAUCGGCCACACUGGGACUGAGACACGGCCCAGACUCCUACGGGAGGCAGCAGUGGGGAAUAUUGCGCAAUGGGCGGAAGCCUGACGCAGCGACGCCGCGUGGGGGAUGAAGGCCUUCGGGUUGUAAACCUCUUUCAGCUCUGACGAAGCGCAAGUGACGGUAGGAGCAGAAGAAGCACCGGCUAACUACGUGCCAGCAGCCGCGGUAAUACGUAGGGUGCAAGCGUUGUCCGGAAUUAUUGGGCGUAAAGAGCUCGUA